Molecule: long non-coding RNA, 914 nt
Filed under: Populus tremula
Lineage: Eukaryota; Viridiplantae; Streptophyta; Magnoliopsida; Malpighiales; Salicaceae
Description: long non-coding RNA (PTRE_LNC001952)
Source: RNAcentral
GUGGCCAAAAAACUUUCUUUCUAGAAUGCGUGAUUGAUCUGCUAUAUGCCUAAAAGGCCAUAAGCACUGUCCCCAACCUCGGGGGAAAGGAAGCGGGUAAGAAGAAUACAGCUAGAAGCCUAGAACUGUAUGGGUUAUUAAGCUGCCAGACACUAUCGACAGCAAUUUGCAAAGUCAUCCAAAAUAGGGAAAAUCUUAAAUCUUUUCCCUCACUUUUACUAUAUCGUAUCUCAAACAUUUUCCCAAUCAAUUAGCUUGGAUCAACUACACCUUUCCCGACCAAUCUGUUUUCUUCCACAACUUACGUUCCUUUUAGACCUCUUCAUAACAGCAGAGUGGCAUUAAUUGGAUCGGCUUAGACAAUCAUAGCAAAGCAAACUGGUUGUUUUAUCUUACAGUAACCAAACAUUUUGUAAGCCAAAACUUUAUUAGACGGAAAAUAGGGAGCCGAUCCUCUGAAUUUAUAAUGAAUGAACCUUAUGUAAUGCAAAGAAUGAUGGACAAUCAAUAGAGUCUCACUUGUUGAAGAUAAGAAAGUGCGUUAAACCCCAUGAUAGUGUUGUUCCCAAGCUAAUAUAUAGUCAUGCAAGUUUUAGGAUUUAACAAAAGAGUCAGACUCAACAACCAAAGAGCUGGAAACAAAUCAAAAACAAAGUGCAAGGAGAACAUGCACAGAGAAUUUAAACAAUUCCACAGCUGUGAGCAUACAGCAACUUCGACAAAAAGGAUGCUGCACUCGAUUUUGUUCAAUUAAAAAUUAAUUCUAAUUAACAAAAAGAAAAAAGGUUAAGUGGCUAGAAUUCAAACAACUCUCUACAUUCACAAGUAUGUAUGCUGCACUCGAUUUUGUUCAAUUAAAAAUUAAUUCUAAUUAACAAAAAGAAAAAAGGUUAAGUGGCUAGAAUUCAAACAAC